GGCGUGCCUAAUACAUGCAAGUCGAGCGAAUGGAUUAAGAGCUUGCUCUUAUGAAGUUAGCGGCGGACGGGUGAGUAACACGUGGGUAACCUGCCCAUAAGACUGGGAUAACUCCGGGAAACCGGGGCUAAUACCGGAUAACAUUUUGAACCGCAUGGUUCGAAAUUGAAAGGCGGCUUCGGCUGUCACUUAUGGAUGGACCCGCGUCGCAUUAGCUAGUUGGUGAGGUAACGGCUCACCAAGGCAACGAUGCGUAGCCGACCUGAGAGGGUGAUCGGCCACACUGGGACUGAGACACGGCCCAGACUCCUACGGGAGGCAGCAGUAGGGAAUCUUCCGCAAUGGACGAAAGUCUGACGGAGCAACGCCGCGUGAGUGAUGAAGGCUUUCGGGUCGUAAAACUCUGUUGUUAGGGAAGAACAAGUGCUAGUUGAAUAAGCUGGCACCUUGACGGUACCUAACCAGAAAGCCACGGCUAACUACGUGCCAGC
RNAcentral lists this ribosomal RNA (491 nucleotides) under Bacillus sp. (in: firmicutes). RNAcentral describes it as "bacterial SSU rRNA". It matches the Rfam family "Bacterial small subunit ribosomal RNA", at positions 41 to 512 of the family's 1533-position model. The record is from RNAcentral. Lineage: Bacteria; Bacillati; Bacillota; Bacilli; Caryophanales; Bacillaceae.